AUUGGACGCUGGCGGCAUGCCUUACACAUGCAAGUCGAACGGCAGCACGGGUGCUUGCACCUGGUGGCGAGUGGCGAACGGGUGAGUAAUACAUCGGAACAUGUCCUGUAGUGGGGGAUAGCCCGGCGAAAGCCGGAUUAAUACCGCAUACGAUCUACGGAUGAAAGCGGGGGACCUUCGGGCCUCGCGCUAUAGGGUUGGCCGAUGGCUGAUUAGCUAGUUGGUGGGGUAAAGGCCUACCAAGGCGACGAUCAGUAGCUGGUCUGAGAGGACGACCAGCCACACUGGGACUGAGACACGGCCCAGACUCCUACGGGAGGCAGCAGUGGGGAAUUUUGGACAAGGGGCGAAAGCCUGAUCCAGCAAUGCCGCGUGUGUGAAGAAGGCCUUCGGGUUGUAAAGCACUUUUGUCCGGAAAGAAAUCCUUGGCCCUAAUACGGUCGGGGGAUGACGGUACCGGAAGAAUAAGCACCGGCUAACUACGUG
RNAcentral lists this ribosomal RNA (486 nucleotides) under uncultured bacterium. Its description in RNAcentral is "partial 16S ribosomal RNA". It matches the Rfam family "Bacterial small subunit ribosomal RNA", at positions 30 to 507 of the family's 1533-position model. The record is from RNAcentral.